UCGCGCAGCAGGACGGAAAGACCCCGGGACCUUUACUACAGUUUGAUAUUGGUGUUCGGUUCGGCUUGUGUAGGAUAGCUGGGAGACUUUGAAGCAUGCACGCCAGUGUGUGUGGAGUCGUCGUUGAAAUACCAGUCUGGUCGUGCUGGAUGUCUAACCUGGGUCCGUGAUCCGGAUCAGGGACAGUGUCUGAUGGGUAGUUUAACUGGGGCGGUUGCCUCCUAAAGAGUAACGGAGGCGCCCAAAGGUUCCCUCAGCCUGGUUGGCAAUCAGGUGUUGAGUGUAAGUGCACAAGGGAGCUUGACUGUGAGACCGACGGGUCGAGCAGGGACGAAAGUCGGGACUAGUGAUCCGGCGGUGGCUUGUGGAAGCGCCGUCGCUCAACGGAUAAAAGGUACCCCGGGGAUAACAGGCUGAUCUUCCCCAAGAGUCCAUAUCGACGGGAUGGUUUGGCACCUCGAUGUCGGCUCGUCGCAUCCUGGGGCUGGAGUCGGUCCCAAGGGUUGGGCUGUUCGCCCAUUAAAGCGGUACGCGAGCUGGGUUUAGAACGUCGUGAGACAGUUCGGUCCCUAUCCGCUGUGCGCGUAGGAAUAUUGAGAAGGGCUGUCCCUAGUACGAGAGGACCGGGACGGACGAACCUCUGGUGUGCCAGUUGUCCUGCCAAGGGCAUGGCUGGUUGGCUACGUUCGGGAGGGAUAACCGCUGAAAGCAUCUAAGCGGGAAGCCUGCUUCGAGAUGAGUAUUCCCACCUCCUUGAGAGGGUAAGGCUCCCAGUAGACGACUGGGUUGAUAGGCCAGAUAUGGAAGCCUGGUAACGGGUGGAGUUGACUGGUACUAAUAGGCCGAGGGCUUGUCCUCAGUUG
Molecule: ribosomal RNA, 863 nt
Filed under: Streptomyces bauhiniae
Lineage: Bacteria; Bacillati; Actinomycetota; Actinomycetes; Kitasatosporales; Streptomycetaceae
Description: partial 23S ribosomal RNA
Rfam family: Bacterial large subunit ribosomal RNA
Source: RNAcentral